RNAcentral lists this ribosomal RNA (510 nucleotides) under uncultured bacterium. Its description in RNAcentral is "partial 16S ribosomal RNA". It matches the Rfam family "Bacterial small subunit ribosomal RNA", at positions 28 to 507 of the family's 1533-position model. The record is from RNAcentral.
GACGAACGCUGGCGGCGUGCUUAACACAUGCAAGUCGAACGAAGAGCGAUGGAAGCUUGCUUCCAUCAAUCUUAGUGGCGAACGGGUGAGUAACGCGUAAUCAACCUGCCCUUCAGAGGGGGACAACAGUUGGAAACGACUGCUAAUACCGCAUACGAUCCAAUCUCGGCAUCGGGACUGGAUGAAAGGUGGCCUCUAUUUAUAAGCUAUCACUGAAGGAGGGGAUUGCGUCUGAUUAGCUAGUUGGAGGGGUAACGGCCCACCAAGGCGAUGAUCAGUAGCCGGUCUGAGAGGAUGAACGGCCACAUUGGGACUGAGACACGGCCCAGACUCCUACGGGAGGCAGCAGUGGGGAAUCUUCCGCAAUGGACGAAAGUCUGACGGAGCAACGCCGCGUGAGUGAUGACGGCCUUCGGGUUGUAAAGCUCUGUUAAUCGGGACGAAUGGUUCUUGUGCGAAUAGUGCGAGGAUUUGACGGUACCGGAAUAGAAAGCCACGGCUAACUACGUG